CUGCUACAUGUAUUUGCGAUAGAUAUAAGUAUGCUUGUAUACAUAUAUGUAUGUAUAUAUACAGUGGAUAUAAAAAGUCUACACACCCCUGUUAAAAUGCCAGGUUUUUGUGAUUUAAAAGAAUAAGACAAAGAUAAAUCAUGUUAGAACUUUUCCCACUUUUUAAUGUGACCUAUAAUGUGAACAAUUCAAUUGAAUAAAAAAAAUUAUAAAAAUAAAAACAAUUACUCGUUUAACUGGUCUGACCAACAGCUGAAUGUUGACACUAGGUGUGGCCCAUUGGUUUGAUUUAGAAAUAACGCUCAUCUUCAGGUUUAUACCAUGGCUCCAUAGCUCAGUGGUUAGAGCACUGGUCUUGUAAACCAGGGGUCGUGAGUUCAAUUCUCACUGGGGCCUUGAUCAAAUGGUCUGAUAUUUUGAUACAGGUCAAUUUCAUCCUGGCUUCUAUGUCCUAUCCUAGUGAGUUAAUCAGAUGCCUUAACCUAGCCUACUAUUGAGUCAAUCAUCGGAUGCUAUAACCGGGCCUACUACUGAUGUUAAUAAUUAAACCUUGCCAAGGGAAUUAAAGUACGAUAUUGCCAGAUAUUUGAGUCAUGUUCCUGUGGUAAUGAUGAAUGUUGUUGGGUCAUGUUUCUCUGGUAAUGAUGAAUGUUGUUGGGUCAUGUUUGUGUUGUGGCUUGAACUCUUCUGAGGUCAUAUGAGAGAACAGCAUGUAAGCUAAUUUCGUGGACUUUUAUUGGUUCUUUUCAUUUACGUAGAUUGUGUCUCCUAAAGUUUUAAAUAGAUUAAAGAGGAGCUUACUGCUAUCGACAUUACUUCUCUCUCUGUCUGUCUCUCUCUCUAAUCUUGGUGGAUUAACAGCACAGGUUAAUCGACCUCUGGUCACGUUCAGGGGACAGAGUAAAGACAAGGCGCCGUUGAAGAAAGAGAAAGACAGAUCGUUGAAGGAGAGAAGCUGAAGCUGUUUAUAACCUGCACGGCCAGGACCCUGGUGACAAUCCCCCGACGACCAGUCUACCUGAACAAGGUGCUCCGUAUUGAAGGUGCUGGGCGUCCUUCGGUAAUUACCUCAAGACCAUGUCCAAGGACCACUGUGAAUCGGUGGUGGUCAGUGUAGAGUCCCUCCUCAGCGACGCGGUCAAGAUGCAAUCUCAGUGUCGGGAGCGGAGUGACCAGCUGGCCAUCGCAGCCGCCGCCCUGAGGGAGGAGUCUGUCUUCCUGAGAGAACAGUGUCAGGCCACUCAGCUGGAUAUGGUCCGGAUGAGAAGACAGCUGGACGAACUGUUGGACACAAAGACUCAAAUGGAGGCCAGCGACAGGAUGCAACGCAAGCUCAGCAAAACUCUCUAAAGGAAAGGGCUGAGAAGAGGGGGGGGGGUGUGUGGGUGUGUGGAGAGGGUGGGUGAGAGAAGGGGAGGGGAUGGAGGGAGAGAGAGAUGUGGAUGUUGUGAGUAGGAGGUGUAGGGGAGAGGAACUGUUGAAUACCAGAUGGAGACCAAGGAUAAAAGUAUAGGGCGAACCCCAAACUCCCCAAGACACUGACAGGUGAGAGAUGGGGAAGCAGAGAGAUAUGGGGGUGAAAAGAGAGAGGGGGUAGACAGACGGAGUCGAGAGACAGAGGGGUAGAGAAACAGGAGGGAAGAGAGACAAGGUAGAGAGACAGGGGGUAGAGAGACAGGGGUUAAAGAGACAGGGGGUAGAGAGACAGGGGGUAGAGAGACAGGAGGUAGAGAGACAGGGGGUAGAGAGACAGGAGGUGGAGAGACAAGGUAGAGAGACAGGAGGUAGAGAGACAAGGUAGAGAGACAGGGGGUAGAGAGACAGGGGGUAGAGAGACAGGAGGUAGAGAGACAGGGGGUAGAGAGACAAGGUAGAGAGACAGGGGGUAGAGAGACAGGGGGUAGAGAGACAAGGGGUAGAGAGACAGGGGGUAGAGAGACAGGGGGUAGAGAGACAAGGUAGAGAGACGGGGUAGAGAGACAGGGGGUAGAGAGACCAGCCUUUUAGGGUAGAGAGGCUGUAAAAGAGAAGGAAGGGCAGGAACCAAAGCAGGUCUGGACACAGAAGAGUAAAUGUGUAGAACAGAAACAGUGUUUGGUUUCUAUACUUUU
Molecule: long non-coding RNA, 2111 nt
Organism: Esox lucius (northern pike)
Lineage: Eukaryota; Metazoa; Chordata; Actinopteri; Esociformes; Esocidae
Source: Ensembl